This 745-nucleotide long non-coding RNA is filed under the name Mus pahari (shrew mouse). RNAcentral describes it as "RIKEN cDNA 4930556G22 gene (MGP_PahariEiJ_G0005956.1)". The record is from RNAcentral. Lineage: Eukaryota; Metazoa; Chordata; Mammalia; Rodentia; Muridae.
CCCACAGACACACCUACUCCUACAAAGCCACACCUCCACCGAGACCCUUCCUUCUCUGGAGGUCGUUUAGGUGGUAAUGUGAUGUCACCUCAGGACUUAGGCAGAACAGGCUUGGGUGGGUUAUGCAUGGAGGCAGAGAUUCCUUGUUUUGAAUCUAAGCGGGGCUUUUGUGAUGGCUUUGGUGUUCUCUGCAGAACUCCCUCUCUCCCUCUCUCUUUUUUAACCAGAACAGUUCUGUAGGCAUUACUUAUGGUCAAAUCAAUGGUUUUUCCAGUAAGGGCUCAUUAAUCAGUUGCUAAGCCGCCACAAAUUACAAGGGAGAAGGAAAACAUCUCCGCAGAGAGGGAAAAAGAUGCUGAGGAGGCCAGGAGAGGGCAUUGGAACCCCUGAACCUGGAAUUACAAAGGAUUCAUUGUGAGUCUAUCUGAAGGGGUACUUAGAAUGCAGCAGUCCCUCUGUGAAAUCAGUCCACGUUCUUAACUGCUGAGCCGUCUCUCCAGCCUCCAUGUGUUUAUUUAUGUGACCUCGUCAUCAGAAUGGCCUUUGCCAUCUGUUUCUAUCGACAUUCUGUUCAUAUUACUUACGUAUUCUCCAAGAAGAUGCAAGAUCUCAGCUGGGUGUGGGGACUCGUGCUUGGAAGCCCAACACUUGGAAGGUAGAGGCAGGAGACUCAGAAGUUCAAGGUCAAGGUUGACCUGGGCUAGAGGAGUUCCUGUUUCAAAAAUCAAAAACACAAAACAAAACU